Molecule: ribosomal RNA, 789 nt
Filed under: uncultured Pelagibacteraceae bacterium
Lineage: Bacteria; Pseudomonadati; Pseudomonadota; Alphaproteobacteria; Candidatus Pelagibacterales; Candidatus Pelagibacteraceae
Description: bacterial SSU rRNA
Rfam family: Bacterial small subunit ribosomal RNA
Source: RNAcentral
GGCACGCCUAACACAUGCAAGUCGAACGAAGUAGCAAUACUUAGUGGCAGACGGGUGAGUAACAUGUAGGAAUCUUCCCUAUGGCCUGGAAUAACACGAGGAAACUUGUGCUAAUACCGGAUAAGUCUUUACAGAGAAAGCUUUAUGCACCAUUGGAUGAGCCUGCACUUGAUUAGUUUGUUGGUGGGGUAAUGGCCUACCAAGACUUUGAUCAAUAGCUGAUUUGAGAGGAUGAUCAGCCACAUUGGGACUGAGACACGGCCCAAACUCCUACGGGAGGCAGCAGUGGGGAAUCUUGCACAAUGGAGGAAACUCUGAUGCAGCGAUGCCGCGUGAGUGAAGAAGGCCUUUGGGUUGUAAAGCUCUUUCGUCGGGGAAGAAAAUGACUGUACCCGAAUAAGAAGGUCCGGCUAACUUCGUGCCAGCAGCCGCGGUAAUACGAAGGGACCUAGCGUAGUUCGGAAUUACUGGGCUUAAAGAGUUCGUAGGUGGUUGAAAAAGUUGGUGGUGAAAUCCCAGAGCUUAACUCUGGAACUGCCAUCAAAACUUUUCAGCUAGAGUUUGAUAGAGGAAAGCAGAAUUUCUAGUGUAGAGGUGAAAUUCGUAGAUAUUAGAAAGAAUACCAAUUGCGAAGGCAGCUUUCUGGAUCAUUACUGACACUGAGGAACGAAAGCAUGGGUAGCGAAGAGGAUUAGAUACCCUCGUAGUCCAUGCCGUAAACGAUGUGUGUUAGACGUUGGAAAUUUAUUUUCAGUGUCGCAGCGAAAGCGAUAAACACACCGCCUGGGG